CCUGCAAGACACCAACUUCGUCCUGUUACUGUGCAGUGAAAAACUCAAUUCAAAAUUAUGAUUUGCAGCGAAACAAAAACAUUACAGGGUGAGAACUUGUUGACUUAUAUAAAAGCAACGCGACGCGUGCGUGACUAAAUUCGGCGCUUGGACAAAUUGGACAAAUUGGACAAAUCAUCGGCAAGUUUCCUAAAAUUUUACGUAGAAGUGCUGUCACAUCUGCAACGAACAGAACUAGAAGACAUUCAACAUGUGUGCCUUCAGUUCUUCCGCAAAAACUU
This is a non-coding RNA of Bemisia tabaci, 281 nucleotides long. The record is from RefSeq and is a predicted model, not a curated record. NCBI's taxonomy places the organism in Eukaryota, Metazoa, Arthropoda, Insecta, Hemiptera, Aleyrodidae.